GAGGGUAUGGCUCAAUGGUAGAGCACAUGCUUAGCAUGCAUGAGGUCCUAGAGUCAAUCCUCAGUACCUCCA
Molecule: transfer RNA, 72 nt
Filed under: Camelus bactrianus (Bactrian camel)
Lineage: Eukaryota; Metazoa; Chordata; Mammalia; Artiodactyla; Camelidae
Also listed under: 2 other names
Rfam family: tRNA
About the family: Transfer RNA (tRNA) molecules are approximately 80 nucleotides in length. Their secondary structure includes four short double-helical elements and three loops (D, anti-codon, and T loops).
Source: Rfam by way of RNAcentral